This is a long non-coding RNA of Brachypodium distachyon (stiff brome), 709 nucleotides long. RefSeq lists it as uncharacterized. NCBI's taxonomy places the organism in Eukaryota, Viridiplantae, Streptophyta, Magnoliopsida, Poales, Poaceae. The transcript has 2 exons. The record is from RefSeq and is a predicted model, not a curated record.
CCGUUUUCCCUUUCUAUUCUCCGCCGCCUCCUACCUCUGCCCCGACUCGCACGCCCACCCGCAUCCUGAGGGCGCAGCCACCGCCUCCCCUCCGCGGCCCUCCUCUGCCGCGCCUCAGCCAGCCUCGCCCGCGAGCCUCCACCUGCGACCACGCACGCGAUCCGCCGCCGUCCGCCUUCGCACCCUCGCGACUUCGCGAGCCCCCGCCGUCUCCACACUGACACCACGCCUUUCCCCACACACGACCCGCCACCGUCGGCCUUCGCGGCCUCACGAGCCCCUGCCGUUUCCGCGCCGCGACUGAGACCCCGGCCAUGCAACCUCCGCACCCCGCCGUCUCCACGCCGCGACUCGGACCCACCCAUCGCCGUCAUGCCCUGUGACUGGGCAGCCAUCGGAGAACCGCUAAUCACGCCGGCGGCGCCUUCGAGGCAAAUGGUUCCCGCAGGAGAGGAACACGCGGCUAGGGAACAUGACAUGGAGGAUCUGGAACCUCGCCCGUUGUUGGUGUGGUGUGUGUGUGUGUGUCUUUUCAAUUGUCUAGAAAAGAGGACUAAAGGCUGGGUUGAUCUUCACAUAGGUGCAUUUUAUAAUUUAUAGAGCACCAGGCUCUGUUCAACGAAACUCCGUUGGUUAAACUUUUGGGCGAUUGACUUCUGUUCUCAAGUACUCAGAAAUAAGAAUUGUGCUGCACCCAAUGUUCUUUCCA